UCUUAUAGAUCAAACUCAUGAUCCAUGAGCGGAUGGAAGUUUUAAAUAGUGACUUCUUUGAUCGUAAACUGAAAGGCUUAAGUGGAAGAGUUGAACAGGCACAAUGCUUGAAAAAGCAUGAAGAACUGGCUCUAACAUUCCUAAAAAAAGUAGCAAAGCUUGAGAGACGUAUUAAUACUGUGAUAACAUUUCAGAAGAAAGUGAUGUCAAAAAUGUUUGGUCAUCAGACAAGGCUUCCAAGUGCAGACUCUCAAAAUACAAUUCUAAACCGUCUUGGA
Long non-coding RNA from Nothoprocta perdicaria, 278 nucleotides. RefSeq lists it as uncharacterized. The transcript has 3 exons. The record is from RefSeq and is a predicted model, not a curated record. Lineage: Eukaryota; Metazoa; Chordata; Aves; Tinamiformes; Tinamidae.